AUACGGAGGGUGCAAGCGUUAAUCGGAAUUACUGGGCGUAAAGAGUACGUAGGCGGCCUACUAAGUCAGAUGUGAAAGCCCAGGGCUCAACCUUGGAACUGCAUUUGAAACUGGUAGGCUAGAGUAUGUUAGAGGGGGGUAGAAUUUCUGGUGUAGCGGUGAAAUGCGUAGAUAUCAGAAGGAAUACCAGUGGCGAAGGCGGCCCCCUGGCCCAAUACUGACGCUGAGGUACGAAAGCGUGGGUAGCGAACGGGAUUAGAAACCCCUGUAGUCC
Molecule: ribosomal RNA, 274 nt
Filed under: uncultured bacterium
Lineage: Bacteria
Description: partial 16S ribosomal RNA
Rfam family: Bacterial small subunit ribosomal RNA
Source: RNAcentral